RNAcentral lists this small nucleolar RNA (134 nucleotides) under Astyanax mexicanus (Mexican tetra). RNAcentral describes it as "Small nucleolar RNA SNORA84 (ENSAMXG00005019477.1)". It matches the Rfam family "Small nucleolar RNA SNORA84". Lineage: Eukaryota; Metazoa; Chordata; Actinopteri; Characiformes; Acestrorhamphidae. The record is from RNAcentral.
GCCUGGUGGUUCCUUGAAGCAGCUUUCUAUGCUGGUCAUCAAGGUUUUAUUAAACAGGCAAAUAUUAAAAUCUGCGGUUUAAUGCUUGGGAGCUGCUUCUGUGCUGCUUCCACAGCCCGGCCGCAGAAACAUAC